GUUGGAAGGGACCUCAAAGAUCACCUAGUUCCACCCCUCUGCCCCUUCAUGCUCAUAUAUCUCUUUGGUCUGAAUUAGAACACCGUUAUUGUCACAGGUGCACAGCACAAGAGGGAGCUGAGGAACACAGGUUAUGGGACUUGCCCAUGCUGAUGAGCAAAGUUGCAAUUAGAUGAAUUAGUAUGAAUAAUUGAGGUUGGCUUUCAUAUCAGCAGCCAGGCUCCUUUUUGUGCUGGGGAGGAGGACACAGAUGCUGCCUGGAUGUACUGGUGGACAGUUCACACCUGCCUCACUGAUUACUGUCUGGGGGAUUAUCCUAACCCUGCUCCAGUGGUCUUCGGUGCUGUUUUGAACUCAGGAUGGAGUUGAAGAAAAUUAGGAAGGUCUGUGAGUCCCGAUCUUCAUGCAGCAUGGAGCAGUACGAGCUGGAGCCUCCUCUGGCUGAUCAUCAGGCUGUAGUCAACCACCGUGUUGUUAGUUGGAAACUGGCCAGGUUUGCAGCUGAGGCGUCAACACAAGCUGUCUGUGAGCAAGAAUCAGCACCAAUCUCUGAGAUUAUAAAGAAAGCUGAAUAUCAAAUUUCAUCACAAAUACAUACAUGUUAUUGCUGCUCACCUGGAGCUUCCUACAGGCAGAAAGAAGCAUUUCCAGGGAAUGACGGAUUUCACUUAUCUUCGACAGCUGUUUUGAAAUGGACACAGAGAUACUUAAGAGAACACGUUUAGAC
RNAcentral lists this long non-coding RNA (727 nucleotides) under Gallus gallus (chicken). Its description in RNAcentral is "long non-coding RNA NONGGAT007282". Lineage: Eukaryota; Metazoa; Chordata; Aves; Galliformes; Phasianidae. The record is from RNAcentral.